AUUGAACGCUGGCGGCAUGCCUUACACAUGCAAGUCGAACGGUAACAGGUUAAGCUGACGUGUGGCGAACGGGUGAGUAAUGUAUCGGAACGUGCCCAGUCGUGGGGGAUAACUGCUCGAAAGAGCAGCUAAUACCGCAUACGACCUGAGGGUGAAAGCGGGGGAUCGCAAGACCUCGCGCGAUUGGAGCGGCCGAUAUCAGAUUAGGUAGUUGGUGAGGUAAAGGCUCACCAAGCCGACGAUCUGUAGCUGGUCUGAGAGGACGACCAGCCACACUGGGACUGAGACACGGCCCAGACUCCUACGGGAGGCAGCAGUGGGGAAUUUUGGACAAAGGGCGCAAGCCUGAUCCAGCCAUGCCGCGUGCGGGAAGAAGGCCUUCGGGUUGUAAACCGCUUUUGUCAGGGAAGAAAAGGUUCUGGCUAAUACCUGGGACUCAUGGCGGUACCUGAAGAAUAAGCACCGGCUAACUACGUG
RNAcentral lists this ribosomal RNA (477 nucleotides) under uncultured bacterium. RNAcentral describes it as "partial 16S ribosomal RNA". It matches the Rfam family "Bacterial small subunit ribosomal RNA", at positions 30 to 507 of the family's 1533-position model. The record is from RNAcentral.